AGCAUGGUCCAGCAGCUGCAGAGGGCCACCCAUCAACACUGUAACAUCUGGUAAAGCUUUGCAACUGGAAGAGCUGCGUUUCAACAUUGCUGAGUGGCGCAUUGCUUCUGCAUCUGUGGGCACUCAGCGUGUACGCAAGUGUGCCAUUCAGACUACAUGGAUGCAGCGGUACAGGCAGUGCCAACCGACGAUGACAAGCACCAAAUCAGAAGAGUGCUGCUGCGCAUCGCUCAUCCACAACUCUCACUGAGUGCACCGAUGCCUUGAGGGGAACUGUGGUGUUAGUACUGAUGCGUUUACUUCGCCGACAUUUGUACUUUCGCCCCCAAUUGUCUGGCGGGUCAGUGUACCUAUUUUGAAGAUGCUCUGUCUGUGAUGGAGCGAAUAUGUGAGACAUCUCUCUUUCUGCCCACUGUGUAAGAACAACGGCACUAAGAGAGACAAGGACGAAAAAAAAAAGACACGACAGAGACACUGAUUCUCAACUAAAAAUUUAUUCGAAAGAACAUGCACACGCUCGCACCUAGUCUCAUGACAUACCAUAGCAUCUGUGCGGCAGAGUAAUCAGGACUUAAGAAAAUACCUAAUGCAAAAUCGACAGUUUGACAAGUUGGUGGAUGUUUAUCGUAGAAUAAUUGACAGUACAACGGGCUAGAUACAAACAUCAGUGCGCACUGUGUAUUUUCUUCUGUUUGUAUAUAACCCAUUGUGCUGUUCAUUAUUCUGUCUACUAUGAAAAAUAACAAAUUAUGACAAAAUAAUACUUGUGUAUCACAAAGCCAAAAAGUAAAAGAAAAAAUUAAGUGCAAGCAAGAACAUACAUUACGGUUCUAAAAUUACAUUCUUUAACCCGGCUGGGUUAAAUCCAGGACACAGAAAUUCUUUUUCACUGAGGCCUAUUGACAGCUUGCACAUACAACCUACCCCUUCCUUUAAACGUAAAAAGCUUCCAUUACUUCCCUAGUUCAUUUGUCGGGCUUGUCUUAUGUAAGCCUCCCCCUGCCCCCUCCCUCAUGAUAAUGGCAACCUAUAGACAACGCACGAUUUGCUACGAAAAUAUCUGUUCUUUCGCUCUCAUUCUAGCUCAUGAGCACUUGGAUAAUGCUAUGCCUGAGCAAACUUGUUGAUGCAAAACCUAUCAUUAUCACAUUUAGAACGAGCCCAGUUAUUUCGUUUAAAGCCGCACUCACUUUAGCAGCAUAGCUCAGCACCUAAGUGGGAUGGCCCAUGUACAAUUUCUCAAAUUUUUGUAACCUGUCCUACCUCUUGAAAAGCGCUACAACUGUUGAACUUAGUAGGACUAGUGAAACGGUUUCAGAGCUUUAACCCUAUAACGUUUGAUUACCCAUUUCGCUGGCACAUUCAACCUUCAAGUUGCAAAAUGCUUAGAUCUCUGGUAGCAGUGCAUGCCAGCACUUUAAAGCAAUGCUGUGCAGAUGAAGCGAUCCACAUGAAUAGUGGACCUUAACCGUUUUCCAGUCCUGCUCCCCACUGGUGCAUACUACCUCGGUUGGCCGCUCGGGCUCGCCUCUAGGACAGCCAUCAUCAACGGGCACUUCACCGAGUGGUCCCCACACAAUGCCCGUGUGGACUACGCUAGGCUCAGAUGGCUCCCGGUUAGAUGGGCAUCCUUCCUUCCUUGGGAUCUACAACCUGAAUAAACCAUUGAGGACCUGCAACCUCAAAGCCAUUCCAAGGCCGCCUUAUCCCAGACCAGCACUCAUUUGAGCCUCAGGUCUCACACAUGCCAUAGGACGCAUGCAUGCUGUGUCCCCUCUGGGGGCGGGGGAGGCUCAGAGCUCUACCCCCGCUAACAACAAAAUGGCGCUCUGCAGAGGGUCUGCAAAUCUCUUCUUACGGCACGUACCCAUUUACACGCUGUAUGCCCGCAGCAGCUCCACAAGAAAGCAGCGCUCCUUGACCUCAGUGAGAAAUGAGCCACAACCCUCCCUACUGGAGAGGUAGGGUGCAGUAUGGGGGCGCUGCCCAGGCAAAGCAAAAUGAGAAUAUUGAGCGGUCUCGGCACGCUAACCUUCAGUGCUUGCGCUCGCCCUGCCACUGGAGACCGAUCAGUCUGGCCGCGGCUUGUGACGAGUAAAGAUUUUUUUGUUGUCA
Molecule: long non-coding RNA, 2115 nt
Filed under: Rhipicephalus microplus (southern cattle tick)
Lineage: Eukaryota; Metazoa; Arthropoda; Arachnida; Ixodida; Ixodidae
Description: uncharacterized LOC119163820
Source: RNAcentral